RNAcentral lists this long non-coding RNA (6391 nucleotides) under Lactuca sativa (garden lettuce). Its description in RNAcentral is "long non-coding RNA (LSAT_LNC005527)". The record is from RNAcentral. Lineage: Eukaryota; Viridiplantae; Streptophyta; Magnoliopsida; Asterales; Asteraceae.
AACAGGCUGUCAAAUAAUAGACUCUACCCUAGGACCACAACCAGACAAGGAACAUGAAAUAAGGCCAAAUCAAUUAUUUUAAGGCUAUAUGAUCCUAACUGUAUACAAUUUUAAAAGCAUACACAUAGCAGUUACAAAUACCAAUUAUCAUUCUCAUUCCAGCAUGGCAUCCAAUAUUCCCAAGGCUACAAGCACCACGUAUCAGGCCAACCAAUUGUUGACUACUCAGCAUUAGCAUGCAAGUCUACCAGCUCAUACAACAUAUACAGGCAUCUCCCCUAGCCCUAUCUAGCAUUCGAUUCACAAAUUCAUAAAUCAAGUCAUAACAGACAACAUAUGUGGGUAUUUUGGGAAAUUUACUUAAGCUCGACUAAUUAUAUGCACCACACCCUUUCUUGUCUUAUAAAUUCUUUACUUAAAACAUUUCUCUUUUGAAAACUUUACAGAUCCUCAGUUUGAGUUCAAGCACACCCGAAAGUACGUCUGAAUCCCUCAAACCAAGGCUCUGAUACCAACUUGUAAUGACCCAAAAAUCAAGGGUAAAAAUUUCAUUUUUUGUAUAACUAAAACAUUGAUAUCAUUUAUCCCAAACAUUUCAAAUCAUCAUUAUGUAAAAAAUUAUCAGAGUUCGUCCCAAAAUCAUUCGUUGCGUAAUUCAUAGGUGUGUGCACUGUGAUCAAUCCGAGCCCUUCCUUUCCAAGACGAUGAUACCUGAAACCAUAAACAAACCUGUAAGCACGAAUCUUAGUGAGUUCCCCAGAACGUACCACACACACAAUCCACGUAUCACAUAUCUUGUUAGCUAUAAAAGCUACCUAUAUCACAUAAGCCAUGCAUACAUAAACCUGUAAGGAUGUCGUGGGCUCCCCCCUGGAUCUUACAACAUAGUGACAUAGGCUACCCCACAUGGUCUUUACCUGGGAAUGCCAUGGGCUACCCCACAUGGUCUUAUAUCUAAUUGCCAUGGGCUACCCUCGGGGUCUUUCAUGCAAUAACAUACAUAAUCAGAUAACAUAUCAUAUAUCACAGAAGCAUAUACACAUAACACAUACAUAAACCUGUAAGAAUGUUGUGGGCUCCCCCAGGGCCUUACACCAUAAUGCCAUGGGCUACCCCACAUGGUCUUUACUUGGGAACUCCAUGGGCUAACCCACAUGGUCUUAUAUCCAAUUGCCACGGGCUCCCCCUGGGGUCUUUCAUGCAACAACAUACAUAAUCAGAUAACAUAUCAUAUAUCACAAAAGCAUAUACACAUAACACAUACAUAAACCUGUAAGAAUGUUGUGGGCUCCCCUAGGGUCUUACACCAUAAUGUCAUGGGCUACCCCACAUGGUCUUUACCUGGGAAUUCCAUGGGCUACCCUACACGGUCUUAUAUGCAAUUGCCAUGGGCUCCCCUGGGGUCUUCCAUGCAACUAUCACAAAGACAACUAGCAUAUCACACAUCACAUAAACAACUAGUAUAACACAUACCGCAUAAACAACUAGUAUACUUCAUAUCACAUAAACAAUGCAUAUAAACAUAUAAGGAUGCCGUGGGCUCCCCCCAGGGUCUUACUCCAGGAUGCCAUGGGCUCCUCCACAUGGUCUUACAUCUAAGUGUCAUCGGCUACCCUACAUGGUCUUUACCUGGGAAUGCCAUGGGCUACUCCACAUGGUCUUAUAUCCAAUUGCCACGGGCUCCCCCCGGGGUCUUCCAUGUAAUAACAUACAUACCCACAUAACAUAAAAUGGGCCGGCCUUGAUGCCUUAGACACAUUGGUAUGGUGAGAAGACUCGCCUCGCACUGCUGAAGUCCCGCGGAUAAACCCUAGUUGUCGGUUGACCGGUUCCCGAAUUGUCAAUCAUCAAAACGACACCCAACUAAUAAUCGGGUUCCAAUAUACAACCAUAAUCUACACUUAGGGUAAAUUAACCAUUUUACCCCUAACCUAGCUUGGUACAAACCAAGGCCCAAACUCACACCUUGAAGGCCUAAACUUCCAAUAGUCACCCAAGGCCCAACAUAUGGCCCAAUUUUUCAAAAUUGGGCCCAAACCUCUACAUGGACUUAUUUUAAGGUAUAACCGUCCAAAGAAUUGGCAUUCUGAUGGCCCAAUGGCUAAUAAUCCUCAAGGCCUAAUCAUGGCCCACUUAUGGCCCAAUUUUCUAAAUUGGGCCCAAGCCUCUCUAAUGGGUAUUAUCCUGAAGCUCAAUAAUUUACCUUAGUCCAUAAAUAUGUUCCCAAUUGGCCCACAAAGGCCCACAGCAGCUUAGUCCAAUAUGUGGCCUAACAAGCAUCCAAACCCAAUUAGGGUUUUUCACAUAAAAUGAUGAUUAGGGUUAAGUGUUCCUACUUAACCCAUUAAGGACUUGAUCCAUUAAGUCCAAACGUAUAAUGAAAUCGGGCUUGAUUCGUCACUUCACUCCAAUGGUCCAAAAUGCAGGUCCCGAUAUGUCCAAACCAAUAAUCCCAAAAUUAGGGUUUUCCAAACCCUAAUUAGGGUUUCCAACCCAUUACAAUCCGACUAUGCCCAAAAGCUAAGUCCUUAGGCCCAUUAGGGCUUCAUUGGGCUUACUGCUCCAUUAGGUCACUAGGGUUUCAUUAAUCGGGCACCACCCACUACCACCUCGGGUAGUGGUGAUCAAUGGCGGCUCACGGUGGUGGUUUUGAGUUCCUUUUCAUUAAUCUUUUGCUAAUUACAAUUACAAUGUUGUUCUUAAUUAACACACACAAACAUACUAAUCUAACACACACACACACACUAAUCUAACACACACACACACACUAAUCUAACACACACACACACACAACCACCUUGUGGCGACAGUCGCGAUAGAGAGCAGAAGCUGGUGGAGGUGUUGAGUUUUCUUCAUUUUUCCUUUCCAAAUAUCCGUACAACAUUAAGUUCACGAACUAUACCUACACACACACAAUCACGCACAUAGCCACCUCCUCACGGUGGCUAGUGGCGGCGGAAGAAGAUGAUAGGGUGGCAGCCUCCAUGGUUGGCUGCCAUGGUGGUUACCCACAUUUUCCGGCCAGAAAUGCACUCACACCCACAUAUUAGACUCACAGAAACAACAUAGACACAUAAAUGACACGAGAUCGAGGUUCCCAACCACCGACUCGGCUGCUAUUGUCGUUGGAGCAAACAGAAACGACGAUGACGACUUUGCACAACCAAAAGGGACGAAAGACGAAAGAAACGGGUCAUGGUUUAGCCUUACCGAAGCUUUCCAGUCGUUUACGGCCUCAACUCCAUCGUUCACAACCUUCUCCUUCGUCUCAGUGGCCUCUCCAGCCGUUUACGACGACUCUGAUGGUUCUCGAUGGUUUAUCCGGCUGCCACGGCGUCUCCGGCAGUAGAGCUAGGGUGGUGGUGCUCCACAGCGAGGUGGCAUGCGGCUGUCUUGGAGCUUCUCAAGAUGGCGGCUGAAGAUGCCACACAUGGUGAUAGCGGCUGGUGGUAUUAGGACGUAGGGUUAGGGUUAGUGUGAGAAUGGGAGGUGAUGGGUUUAAAGUCUCGUGUUCAUUGAAAUUUGUACAUUUUACCAAGUUUAGUCCCUCCCCACAACAUUUGUUUUCAAUUUAACUCCAAAAGUUACCCUUUAGCCCUCCCUUCCAUAGUUCCUUUUAUAAACAAUCCUAAGAAUUACCAAGCAGCCUUCAACACUUCAAUAUAUUUUCAAUUUAAGUCCCAAUCUUACCAAACAACCCCUAACUUCUGAAAAUCUUCACAAAAUAAAUCCCAGAAAUACACUUUAGCCCCCAAAUAAUCCAAUUUAUAACAUUCGGCUCCCCAAUCCACUAAAUUAUAUCGAUUCAGGGCGACUAUUCGUUCAUCAAUUUUUUAUCUAUUUAAUUAUUAAAUAAACAGAAUGUUACAGACGUGGUGGUGGCUUUCCAGCUAGGGUUGUGAUCAGGAAUUGGAAAAAAGAGGAGAUGUUGAGGAUGUUGUGAUCUCGACAUUCAUGAGAGAGAGAGAGAGAGAGUAUUUUAUUUUUUUUAUUUUUAAUUGUUUUAAUUGAGGGUAAUAAAACAAAAUUGAAAAAUUAAAUAAUAAGGAAUAAAAUCGUCUUUACAAAAAAAGUUAAACCAAAUUGGACCAAACUAACAAGAAAAUGAUACUUUUGGACCAGUGUUGCUAGUUAAAUUUAUUUUGGCCAAAACAUACGAGAUUUGACAUACCACAUGACCAUUCUUUCAAUUUUGUCGUUAACUUUACUUACUAUUGAGUGUAUGAUUAAAUGGAUGUAUCUUUCUGCCCUUUGCUUUAUGAUUGAUUGCAACGGUUGAAAUUCCUAAAGCAACAUUGUAAUUAUUGAUGCAAAAGCUGUUAGUUUUUAUGAGUUAUAGUUUUGUAAUGUUAAAAGGAAAACUAAGAGAGGCAGGUACUUGUAGCCUGAUUUGGUUCCAAUUGGUUCCGAAUCCGCUUCCAAAAUCUUAGAAAACGCUGAGACCAGCUUCAUCUUUUUAGUAAUCGUCGAUUCUAGCUCCUUUCAAAAUGACCGGGCUAUACACAUUUAUGCUUAUCCUUAAUUGGGUAUGAUGAAAACAUAAAAUCUUUGUUUUUAAAAAUUUAGCCAACUCUCGAAAUUAUUCCUCAAAACAUGAUAAUUAUAAUGACAGUUAACCAUAAGGCCCUUAAACAUAUAAGAAGAAUAAUAAAACAUCAAAGCCAAGAACAUACCUUCUAAAAUUAAAAUUAAAAAAUAAAAAAAAAUGACAACUUGAGAUCGUAGGUUUUCGACAGACCAAUGGGUUUCACCUGAUUGGGAGGCCCGAUCCUAUGGAGGUGCCAGACUGACCCACUAAACUUGCUAUUUGUUUAACAAUAACAUUGAUUAAAUGAAGUAAAGGCUCUAGUUUAUAGAGAAGACAUCACCGUUUAAAAAGUAAUCAUAGAAUCGAUGGAAUCUACUAUUUCUUUACCAUUGCUAUAUUUUUAUUUAUUUUCAAUACCUAGUAUAGUAUAAUUUCGUAUUUCGAGGCGAACCGCCUAUAAAAAGGAAAAAAUCGUGGUUGGAAAGGUUAUAGUAGCCAAAGCCGUUGAACUUAAUGUUCUAAUUUUGAUUCAAAGGAAAGAAAACGUGUAGUUGAAAUAACUCACUCAGAACGUUUUUUAAAGGAUUACGUGGUACGAUUAGAUCGAAUAAGCCCUUUUGGAAUAAAUACUCGUCCGCUUAGGGUUUUUAUGCACUUCACUUUGAUAUAAAAUAAGGGAUCUCAUUUCACUAUAUGUUGAUUUUAUGUUUAGUUUGUGUUUGGUGUGUCAUACCACAUAACUAACUUAUUUUUUGAGAUUUUUUAAAUUGUUAUAUUAAAAAAAAGGUAAAAAGUAACUUGUAAGCUAACUUUUUUAAAAGCUAACUAGUAUUUUUAUUUUAUUUUUAUUUUUUUUUUUUAUUAUUUUGAUUUCUCAAAUGUAUCCUUGAGUAACUAUUAAAACCAUAUUUUUUAAAUAUCAUUUUAUAUAUUUUAGUUAGCUUAACAACUAAUUUUUAUUAACUAGUAGUUAACUUUUCGGCUAACAACUAAUUUUUUAGUUUUACCUAAUAGCCAAAAUGGCCAAUAAAAAAAAUCUACAUAAAUAAACUAUAAAAAAAAACCCUCCCACUAAAAAUGCUCUCAAUAACUAAUUCUACAAAUUAAAUAAAACAAAAUUGAUCCUAAAAUUAUUAUCAUAUAUACCUCAAGGACAGUAAAAAAAAAGUCAAACCAAAAACCCAUAAAUCAAAACUUACUAUUAGCACAUACCUAUGUUACCGAGAAAGUUUCCAUUAUUUACUAUCGCCCAUAAAAUCGGUCAAGUUCCUUGAUCUUCCAUGCAAUUUCUUUACAUGAUUGUUCCUAAUAUCAUUCAUAAAUGAUAAAUCUCACCAGUCUUUAAGUUUGCAGAUUUGUUGGUAACUCGCAUGGAACUUGCCGGAGAAGGAACCGAUGGUGUUGUUUCAUAAUGGUUUUCACCCGGACUGCCGGACAACCACUCACUGCAAGUCUGCAAUGGCCUGGCCUUCACCGUCGGUGGCCUUCAAUUACCUUAACCGACAAUCCCCCUGCACCUCCGUGGAAAUCGGUUUCAAUCGACGAUGCUUCUGGUUUGGAUCCCCACUUCCACUUCCUUUCCCAUGCAUGCAUACAACUCUCUAGAGGCUGGACCCUCACAGGCCAUUCUCUCUCUCUCCCCAUGCAGUAUUAACCACCAGUUUCAGGCCCCACCUCCACCAUUAUCACACACUAAAGUGAGAACUAUAACCCUGGCCCACCACCCACUAAAAUGAUUCAGUUUCGUAAGUCCAAGACAUAGACACCACCUUUAAUUUAGCAAAAUCAACAUGUCGUUGGAGGGUAGGGACUAGGGAGGGGUGGUAUGGUGCAAGAAGAAGCCGUUAAAGAGGGUUAAUUAGG